GCUCAGUCGGUAGAGCAUCAGACUUUU
RNAcentral lists this non-coding RNA (27 nucleotides) under Xenopus tropicalis (tropical clawed frog). The record is from RNAcentral. RNAcentral also lists the same sequence under 5 other names. Lineage: Eukaryota; Metazoa; Chordata; Amphibia; Anura; Pipidae.